Molecule: long non-coding RNA, 145 nt
Organism: Pipistrellus kuhlii (Kuhl's pipistrelle)
Lineage: Eukaryota; Metazoa; Chordata; Mammalia; Chiroptera; Vespertilionidae
Exons: 3
Source: RefSeq, a predicted model, not a curated record
CGGUCACCGCUCGGCUCCCGCUGCUCCCCCAGGACACAAACCUCCUUGGGGGCCCCACUCUCCAGCUGCGGAUGCUGCUUGGGGUCCCUGAGGCCCCUUACUGGUGGAGUCAGGUGUGGUCACUGAAACAAAUGCACCUGCCAGG